AUGGACACACCGGAUGCGGGCAGCUAUUCGCUUGAACAAGCUCAAGCUUUUUACUCAUUUCCAUUUCAACAAAUGAUGGCCGAAGCUCCUACCAUGGCAGUCAUAACUGAGCAACAAAUGCCAGUAGAAGUUCCUGCACCAGCUCCCGCCCAGGAACCUGCACCAGAGGCUCCAAAAGGAAGGAAAAGAAAAGCUCGAACAACAGCACCCAAAAAACCAGUAGAACCAAAAAAAACCGUGGAACCCAAAAAAAUCUGCUGACUCAAAAAAAUCGGGCAAGUCAAAAAAAUCAAAAGAAAAGCAAGAAAAAAUCACAGAUACAUUUAAAGUGAAAAGAAAAGUAGACCGCUUCAAUGGUGUUUCUGAAGUGGAACUUUUGACCAAGACUCUCCCUGAUAUUUUAACUUUCAAUCUGGAUAUUGUGAUUAUUAGCAUAAACCCAGGACUAAUGGCUGCUUACAAAGGGCAUCAUUACUCUGCACCUGGAAACCAUUUCUGGUAGUGCCUGUUUAUGUCUGGGCUAAGUGAGGUUCAGCUGAAUCACAUGGAUGACCACACCCUGCCAGGGAAAUAUGGCAUUGGUUUCACAACACCAGGCAGCAAGGAUCUUUCCAGUAAAGAAUUUCGUGAAGGAGGGCGUAUUCUAGUACAGAAAUUACAGAAAUACCAGCCACGAAUAGCAGUGUUUAAUGGAAAAUGUAUUUAUGAAAUUUUUAGUAAAGAAGUUUUUGGAGUGAGAGUUAAGAACUUGGAAUUUGGGCUUCAACCCCAUAAGAUCCCAGACACUGAGACUCUGUGCUACGUGAUGCCAUCAUCCAGUGCACGAUGUGCUCAGUUUCCCCGAGCCCAGGACAAACUCCAUUACUAUAUUAAGCUGAAGGACUUGAGAGAUCAAUUGCAAGGCAUUGAACGAAACACAGAUGUUCAGGAGGUGCAGUAUACAUUCGACCUACAGCUUGCCCAAGAGCAUGCAAAGAAGAUGGCAGUAAAGGAAGGAAAGUACGAUCCAAUAUGAAGCUGCAUAUGGAGGCGCCUAUGGUGAAAAUCCGGGCGGCAGCACGGAGCCCUGCAGCUUCUCAGAUGGGCUAACAGCCAACAGGGUGCAGCUACAAGGAGAAUCUGCUUUCCCUGACAUCCCCAAUGGGCAGUGGAUGACCCAGUCAUUUACAGAGCAGAUCCCUUCCUUCAUCAAUCACUGUGGGACACAGGAACAGGAAGAAGGAAGCUGUGCUUAAGGAUGGAGCCUCUCAGCUCAGCCUCAGUGCCGCAGUUUUAUUGCGGCUCUCAAGACACAGAACCUCAGUUUGCCGAACUGAAGUCUUUUCUUAGUACUUUACUCUAGUAGUGUAAUUACAGUACAGUACAGAACAGUUGUAUAGUAGAUUCAAUUGUGUGAACCUCAGUAGUUUGGGAAGAAAAGGUAGGGUUUUGUAUAUGCAUUUUUGUAUUUGAAUUAACUACAUUCCAGUUUUUUUUACAUAUAUAUGUGUAAUCCAUUUUAUGAAGAAACUUGAUUUUCUUUUGGGACUCGAUUUAACCUGUAUAUGCAACAGUCUGAAUAUUUAUAGUUGAUUAUUAAUUGUGCAAAGGCCUAGAUAUGUUGUUUUUUCCUUUGACUGCCUAAGCAGGCCAGGCUAACAUUAAGCAGCACUGCUGGGAAGGAGGCGAACGUGGGUCUCCACGAAGGAAGCUUACUGUGACAUCUCCUGUAGUAGGUUUGGGUACUGAGGGUAAACUCAGGGCACUCUGAUUGUGGUCACACUCAGACCUCUUUGCUUACCCAUCUUAGGGAGGAGUGAGAUUGCUAAGUAGCAGAAACACAGCAUGUAGCCUUGCAGUGGCAAGGCCAAGUGGCCUUCCCUCACAGGACACCGAGCC
This is an RNA transcript of Perognathus longimembris pacificus (Pacific pocket mouse), 1878 nucleotides long. It is a transcript of the gene named G/T mismatch-specific thymine DNA glycosylase-like, with no coding region annotated. The record is from RefSeq and is a predicted model, not a curated record. The transcript is spliced from 2 exons. NCBI's taxonomy places the organism in Eukaryota, Metazoa, Chordata, Mammalia, Rodentia, Heteromyidae.